Long non-coding RNA from Astatotilapia calliptera (eastern happy), 981 nucleotides. Lineage: Eukaryota; Metazoa; Chordata; Actinopteri; Cichliformes; Cichlidae. The record is from Ensembl.
CCGGUUUCGGGCAGGUCAUGCGGUCAUGUGAUAGUUCGCGCUGAUGGACAUAGGAAGUGUUACAAACAGCUGAUGGAUCGGCGAAGCGUGUUUCUGGAAUAUCAUGUUUUUGUUGCUGCAAGUGAUUUUUAUGCAGUUUUUGCAAAGCUAUAUGUGGAAGGAAACUGUGACCUAGGACAAGCUGAUGGCAUAAGAUAGGCGGCGGCAAGAGGGGAGACCUCGGCUCAUCCAGCUGGACAGCCUGAUCAGGAGGAGUCGAACAUUAACUCAGGUCUUCCAGGGCACCCUGCAGACUCAGCUGCUGGCAACAGCGAGGGAGUGCGGCCGCCGCUGGGAUGACGUGAACGCCAAACAGGAGUCCAUCACAGGUCAAUUGCAGCUCCUUGUCUCAGAGUGGGAGGGAUUUGAAGCACAAAGGGAGGAGCUUGUCAUUUGGUUGGCUGAUAUGGAUGUCCACCUGAGUGAGGUUUACCAGCUAACAGGAAACACCAGUGAAAAACUGAAACAACUGCAGGUGUGGCCUUGUUUUGAUAUAACAUAUAUUUGAUAUGAUACAUACGUCAGAGACAUUGUCCUAAACUGGACUAACAAAGGACCAUGAGUCCAACAUGAAACUUACCUUACAUAAGGUAAGGCUGAAGUUCAUUGAUAAUUUUAAUCAAAAACUUGUUGUUGAAAUAUUUUUACUGAAUAUGCAAACAUCUGCUGAUGAAAAUGUGUUGAUUUAUUGGUCUGUUAUGAAGCUAUUGCUAUUUCUAAUGUGUUUUUAUCACUUUCUGAUGUUUUAUUAAUUAAACAAUACAUGUAGUAAUUGUUGUGUUAUCUAUAGAUAUAGUAUUUAUAUAUAUAUUUAUUUAUUCAUAGUAUAGUAAAAAUGUUUAAUCAUUACUGUUUAAAUGACUAAUAUGUGACAUGUAUUAGUAGUGAUGUGGUGCUGAGGGUUAAAAUGCCUUUUUGUCUUUUGGUAUAUUACGAAACGGC